This 462-nucleotide ribosomal RNA is filed under the name Nocardia neocaledoniensis. RNAcentral describes it as "bacterial SSU rRNA". It matches the Rfam family "Bacterial small subunit ribosomal RNA", at positions 28 to 507 of the family's 1533-position model. Lineage: Bacteria; Bacillati; Actinomycetota; Actinomycetes; Mycobacteriales; Nocardiaceae. The record is from RNAcentral.
GACGAACGCUGGCGGCGUGCUUAACACAUGCAAGUCGAGCGGUAAGGCCCUUCGGGGUACACGAGCGGCGAACGGGUGAGUAACACGUGGGUGAUCUGCCCUGUACUUCGGGAUAAGCCUGGGAAACUGGGUCUAAUACCGGAUAUGACCUUGGACUGCAUGGUCUUUGGUGGAAAGAUUUAUCGGUACAGGAUGGGCCCGCGGCCUAUCAGCUUGUUGGUGGGGUAAUGGCCUACCAAGGCGACGACGGGUAGCCGGCCUGAGAGGGCGACCGGCCACACUGGGACUGAGACACGGCCCAGACUCCUACGGGAGGCAGCAGUGGGGAAUAUUGCACAAUGGGCGAAAGCCUGAUGCAGCGACGCCGCGUGAGGGAUGACGGCCUUCGGGUUGUAAACCUCUUUCGACAGGGACGAAGCGCAAGUGACGGUACCUGUAGAAGAAGCACCGGCCAACUACGUG